CUGCUCUUUGGGUGUUGGUGUUUGGACACCCAGGGAGAAUUGGGAUAAAUUGGGAAUGUUUGGUCACUUCACUUUGCGUGUGGCAAGGUGUUGCUGGGCGCCACUGGGACUCCUGUACGUGUUAAAGAAGACUGGACUGGGACUUUGCUUCAGAUCUGCUGUUGCCUCCGUUGCCUUGGCUCUUUGUGCCAUUUCGUGGACCUUGAAUUGAUGACUACAACCUCUGGACCUUGGACUGGAAUUCGACCCUGUUUCUGCCUUCGCUCUCUGAUUGGUCUACCCACGGCUCUUGACUUCUGGCUUGCCUCCUGACCCUGCUGCUGUCUCCUGUCCUGACCCUGGAUCAACCUGACGACAUCUCUUCACUUUGUCCCUUGAGCUCCUGGCAUUACCUGCACUCUCAAAGCAGUUUGCUGCUGUUCCUGCUAUUUUGACUCCGGACCGGUUUGACGACAUCUUCUUGCACUGUCCCUUUAAAUCCCCAAAGCCUGUUGCUUACCGCAGUAAGGGCUUGGAGCCGUACCUUCCCUUUUGCACCGGCUCCAAGUUUGUUUACAAGCUCCUUUGCCCAGUUUUGGUUUCUGUUUAGAGCUUUGUGUUAAAACUGCUAGCUUGUGACUCUUGGGAGUUUUUUGGGAGUUUCCAAGUCUUUGUUUUGUUUUGGCUGCUUUUCCAAGCCAACUUAGUUUGUUUAGAGCUGAAUUGAAGCACCUUUUGUUUAAUCUGGGUUAUUUGCUUGGAUAAUCCGGUUUGUUUGCUAAAGCAUACUUUUUGAUAUAUUUUUUUGUUUGGACUGCUUUAAAACACUGAAAGUUAAGUGUUUAAAGCCAUCUUUUGUGUUUGUGUCUAUUUUUUGGGCUAUCUCUUGAAUAAACUCUGUUUUGCUCUCAAA
Anolis carolinensis (green anole) is the source of this 892-nucleotide long non-coding RNA. RefSeq lists it as uncharacterized. The transcript has 2 exons. NCBI's taxonomy places the organism in Eukaryota, Metazoa, Chordata, Lepidosauria, Squamata, Anolidae. The record is from RefSeq and is a predicted model, not a curated record.